GGGGGUGAUCGGUUUCGACUGGGGAUGUCGAGGCAGAGGAAGCGAGCCGAGGAAGCGGCAAUGAUCUCGUUAACCACGGGCCGCAAAAAAUAAUCGCCAAUAACACGCGAUCCACCUUCGCCCUCGCCGCCUGAGCGAGUAUCCGAAGGAGUCAGACCGGGCGCGUCUCCGUCCCGGAGCCUGGCUUAAUCUAGGAGACUCCACCGCUCGACCCGGUCACGGGGUAGUGCGGAAAACCUAACAGUGGCUGGGCCCGUCGGGAGCUUGUCUGCGUGACUCCCGGGGCCGAGAAAAUCACAGCAGACUGCGCUCGGAGAAGCUCUGGUUCCGCACCACAGGACGCGGGUUCGAUUCCCGCCACCUCCACCG
Molecule: transfer-messenger RNA, 369 nt
Filed under: Streptacidiphilus jiangxiensis
Lineage: Bacteria; Bacillati; Actinomycetota; Actinomycetes; Kitasatosporales; Streptomycetaceae
Description: Standard tmRNA
Rfam family: transfer-messenger RNA
About the family: Bacterial tmRNA, also known as 10Sa RNA or SsrA, is named for its dual tRNA and mRNA-like properties.
Source: Rfam by way of RNAcentral